RNAcentral lists this small RNA (29 nucleotides) under Bombyx mori (domestic silkworm). RNAcentral's name for it is "ovarian small RNA-13502". Lineage: Eukaryota; Metazoa; Arthropoda; Insecta; Lepidoptera; Bombycidae. The record is from RNAcentral.
CCACCUUACAAAACUGACCAAAAAGGAUA